This 566-nucleotide ribosomal RNA is filed under the name Pinus environmental sample. RNAcentral's name for it is "SSU rRNA". It matches the Rfam family "Eukaryotic small subunit ribosomal RNA", at positions 588 to 1158 of the family's 1831-position model. The record is from RNAcentral. Lineage: Eukaryota; Viridiplantae; Streptophyta; Pinopsida; Pinales; Pinaceae.
GCUCCAAUAGCGUAUAUUUAAGUUGUUGCAGUUAAAAAGCUCGUAGUUGGAUCUUGGGUCGUAAGGGUCGGUCCGCCUACUCGGUGUGCACCUGCCCUUCCGUCCCUUUUGUCGGCGGCGUGCUCCUGGCCUUAAUUGGCUGGGUCGCGGUUCCGGCGCUGUUACUUUGAAAAAAUUAGAGUGCUCAAAGCAAGCUUAUGCUCUGAAUACAUUAGCAUGGAAUAACGUGAUAGGAGUCUGGUCCUAUUGUGUUGGCCUUCGGGACCGGAGUAAUGAUUAAUAGGGACUGUCGGGGGCAUUCGUAUUUCAUUGUCAGAGGUGAAAUUCUUGGAUUUAUGAAAGACGGUCCACUGCGAAAGCAUUUGCCAAGGAUGUUUUCAUUAAUCAAGAACGAAAGUUGGGGGCUCGAAGACGAUCAGAUACCGUCCUAGUCUCAACCAUAAACGAUGCCGACCAGGGAUCGGCGGAUGUUGCUCUAAGGACUCCGCCAGCACCUUCUGAGAAAUCAGAGUGUUUGGGUUCCGGGGGAAGUAUGGUUGCAAAGCUGAAACUUAAAGGAAUUGACG